GCCAGAGGUCAUCCUAAAGUGUUAUCAGAGCCCAGAUUAGCUUGCCCAGGCCACUGCUGCCAGAAAUUCUGCUACAAGCCUAUGGGCCAAGGAAGGAAGGAGAGAGGGAGAACAUUCAAAGGUCACAGGGAGAAGGACAAGAUGGUUCUUCAGAUGCUGAGGGAGAAUCUUCCUGUCACAAGGAGUUCUGAGACGACUAAAUUCUAGUGUCACAACUAGAAACUAAAAGGAGGCGAUCUCUCUUCCCCAUGGAGACUGCCACGAGUCGGAGUCCUGCAGGAUGGAGGAGGACUUUUCGUUGGAUUAUAAUGGAAAUGGGGCCUUGAGACUGGACAGAGCCAGGAAGCCCAAAGAUUCCCCGGCGAUUCGAGGCGUCUGCAUGACCAACGUGGAGAUAUUUCUUGCACGAUCACACACGGAUAGCCCUCGGUCAAGUUGCUCGCCCUCUCAGGGAGGAGGUAGAAAGAGGAAGGAAAAGAACAUGAAACUCAAAAAUUUUGAAAAUGAAUGUUAAAAUUGUUAUUCCAUGGAAUUGGGGGAAAUAUUGUAUUAAGUUUUAAAAGGGGCUUUUCCUGGUUUCCCCAGAAACUGCCUUUCUACACAAGGUUACCUUGGAAUGCUUGGCAUGUGAUUUAUAUAUGAACAUAGACACACACACAUCUACAUACUGCCUCCUCCAUUGAAAUGUACGCUCCUUUUUUCUUUUUAAACCCUUUCCAUCUGUCUUAGAAUCAAUACUAAAUAUUGGUUCCAAGGCAGAAGAGAGAUAGGAUUAGGCAAUAGGAUCAAAUGAUUUACGCAGGGUCACACAACUAGAUGUGUCUUAGGUCAGAUUUGAACCCAGCACCUCCCAUCUUCAGAUCUGGCUCUCAAUCUACUGAGACACCUCACUGCUCCACAUAAGCUCAUUUGGGUUAAGAAUUGAUUUACUUUUCUCACUAAAUCUCUAGAACUUAGACAUAUAGUAGAUGUUUAAUAAGUGCUUCUCCAUUGAUUGAUGGUCCCUUAAAUUCAUUCCUUCUCCUAACUCCCCCAUUUCUGCCAGGGGAACCAUUCUCUUUUUAGUCACCCAGGUUUGUGGCUUCUGAGAAAGCCUUACCCUCCCUCCCUGCUCCCUACCCACUCCAAAUUCAAUUGCUUGCCAGGUCUUACUGAUUUUUAUCUCCACAACAUUUUUCACAUCUAUCCCUUUCUUUAUUUUUUUAAACUCCUAUUUAAUAUUGUAGUAGAAAUACUAGUCAUAGGAAUAAAAGCAGAAAAAGAAAUUGAGGGAAUUAGAAU
This 1281-nucleotide long non-coding RNA is filed under the name Monodelphis domestica (gray short-tailed opossum). Its description in RNAcentral is "lncRNA (ENSMODG00000030151.2)". Lineage: Eukaryota; Metazoa; Chordata; Mammalia; Didelphimorphia; Didelphidae. The record is from RNAcentral.